RNAcentral lists this ribosomal RNA (440 nucleotides) under uncultured bacterium. RNAcentral describes it as "partial 16S ribosomal RNA". It matches the Rfam family "Bacterial small subunit ribosomal RNA", at positions 338 to 795 of the family's 1533-position model. The record is from RNAcentral.
CCUACGGGAGGCAGCAGUGGGGAAUAUUGCACAAUGGGGGAAACCCUGAUGCAGCGACGCCGCGUGAGUGAAGAAGUAUUUCGGUAUGUACAGCUCUAUCAGCAGGGAAGAAAAUGACGGUACCUGACUAAGAAGCCCCGGCUAACUACGUGCCAGCAGCCGCGGUAAUACGUAGGGGGCAAGCGUUAUCCGGAUUUACUGGGGGGAAAGGGAGCGUAGACGGCGCGGCAAGUCUGAAGUGAAAGGCAGGGGCUGAACCCCUGGACUGCAUUGGAAAAUGCCGUGCUGGAGUGCUGGAGAGGUAAGUGGAAUUCCUAGGGUAGCGGUGAAAUGCGUAGAUAUUAGGAGGAACACCAGUGGCGAAGGCGGCUUACUGGACAGUAACUGACGUUGAGGCUCGAAAGCGUGGGGAGCAAACAGGAUUAGAUACCCCUGUAGUC